Molecule: long non-coding RNA, 641 nt
Filed under: Homo sapiens (human)
Lineage: Eukaryota; Metazoa; Chordata; Mammalia; Primates; Hominidae
Description: novel transcript
Source: RNAcentral
UCACCUCCUUCCUACACCAGCACUCCAGCCAGAAGGACCUCCGUAAUAUGGCCAAGAUACACCCAGGAAUCUGCCACCAUCCCAGCAACUUUUCCAGAAAAUGCAACUGCUCAUCUGAGGUCCACACAUGCUCUGCCUGCCUCCACGUGCCUGGCGAGUCUGACUGGUUUGACAGACGCUUCGACAGUACCGUUGAACCCCUACAGAGGCCACAAGAUCCCACGUCCAAUGAUGCUCUGAUAUUGUGGCUGGGACUCGAGAGGGUCAAGUCAGAGAAGGAGGUUGAGAAUAAGCAGCAGCAGCUGAUUAAAGCACCUCCCCUGUGCCCACUGGGCCAUGUGGUGUCCAACUGCCGGGUCUGUGCAGUGGUGGGAAACUCAAGGUCUCUAUGGAGCUCUGGCCUUGGCUUCAGGAUUAAUCAACAUGAAGUGGUCCUCAGGAUGAACCAGGCCCCUGUCUGAGGCUUUGAGGCAGAUGUGGGGAACAGGACCACCAUGCGCGUUAUGUACCCUGGGAUUGCCAGCCCUCAGGACCCCGGUACCCAACUGCUGCUGCUUCCGUUGAAUUCAUCUGGUCUGGAGUGGUUCAUAAGUGUACUGCAUAAACAGACAAGCAUGUGGAAGCAAAAAAAACCCUGGAUU